AGUGAACGCUGGCGGUAGGCCUAACACAUGCAAGUCGAACGGCAGCACAGUAAGAGCUUGCUCUUACGGGUGGCGAGUGGCGGACGGGUGAGGAAUACAUCGGAAUCUACUUUUUCGUGGGGGAUAACGUAGGGAAACUUACGCUAAUACCGCAUACGACCUACGGGUGAAAGCAGGGGAUCUUCGGACCUUGCGCGAUUGAAUGAGCCGAUGUCGGAUUAGCUAGUUGGCGGGGUAAAGGCCCACCAAGGCGACGAUCCGUAGCUGGUCUGAGAGGAUGAUCAGCCACACUGGAACUGAGACACGGUCCAGACUCCUACGGGAGGCAGCAGUGGGGAAUAUUGGACAAUGGGCGCAAGCCUGAUCCAGCCAUACCGCGUAGGUGAAGAAGGCCUUCGGGUUGUAAAGCCCUUUUGUUGGGAAAGAAAGGCAGCAGGUUAAUACCCCGCUGUUCUGACGGUACCCAAAGAAUAAGCACCGGCUAACUUCGUG
Molecule: ribosomal RNA, 492 nt
Filed under: uncultured bacterium
Lineage: Bacteria
Description: partial 16S ribosomal RNA
Rfam family: Bacterial small subunit ribosomal RNA
Source: RNAcentral